AAUUGGAGGGCAAGUCUGGUGCCAGCAGCCGCGGUAAUUCCAGCUCCAAUAGCGUAUAUUAAAGUUGUUGCAGUUAAAAAGCUCGUAGUUGAAUUUCGGGACUGACAGGUUGGUCGCGCCUUCGGUGUGUACUGGCCUAGUCGGUUUCUCCCUUCUGACGAACCACGAUGUCAUUAAUUUGGUGUCGUGGGGAAUCAGGACUGUUACUUUGAAAAAAUUAGAGUGUUUAAAGCAGGCUUAGGCUUGAAUACAUUAGCAUGGAAUAAUGAAAUAGGACGUUUGACCCUAUUUUGUUGGUUUCUAGGAUUGACGUAAUGAUUAAUAGGGAUAGUUGGGGGCAUUAGUAUUCAAUUGUCAGAGGUGAAAUUCUUGGAUUUAUUGAAGACUAACUACUGCGAAAGCAUUUGCCAAGGAUGUUUUCAUUAAUCAAGAACGAAAGUUAGGGGAUCGAAGACGAUCAGAUACCGUCGUAGUCUUAACCAUAAACUAUGCCGACUAGGGAUCGGAUGAUGUUAAUUUUAUAAUGACUCAUUCGGCGCCUUACGGGAAACCAAAGUGU
This 559-nucleotide ribosomal RNA is filed under the name uncultured Glomus. Its description in RNAcentral is "SSU rRNA". It matches the Rfam family "Eukaryotic small subunit ribosomal RNA", at positions 546 to 1106 of the family's 1831-position model. The record is from RNAcentral. Lineage: Eukaryota; Fungi; Glomeromycota; Glomeromycetes; Glomerales; Glomeraceae.